Molecule: ribosomal RNA, 187 nt
Filed under: uncultured bacterium
Lineage: Bacteria
Description: partial 16S ribosomal RNA
Rfam family: Bacterial small subunit ribosomal RNA
Source: RNAcentral
GCCUGCGUGAAGUUGGAAUUGCUAGUAAUCGCGGAUCAGCAUGCCGCGGUGAAUACGUUCCCGGGCCUUGUACACACCGCCCGUCACACCAUGGGAGCCGGUAAUACCCGAGGUCAGUAGUCCAACCUCGUGAGGACGCUGCCGAAGGUAGGAUUGGCGACUGGGGGUGAAGUCGUAACAAGGUAGC